UCGAGCUCUCCCCGAUCCCUAUCUCUCUCCCAGUUGCAAGUCCUCAUCCCGGCGUCUCUCUUUCUCCCCAAUCCCCACCUCUGCCGUCCACAUGCUCCACCUAGGACCGCUCCCCCUCCUCUUCCUCCCUGGAUGUCGUGAACGUGCAGAGGCGUCUGUAGCGCGCUCCCAGUCCGAGCUCCUCUGGCUGGUGGCAUGGCGUCACUUGCCGGCUGCAACUCCCGACGAUCUCUCCGGAUGGUCUGUCGCACGACGCCAACGGCGUUUUCCGCCGGCGAAACGGCCUUCCUUUCAGUGCCCGCUGUGCUGCUGACCGCCGGCGAGCGCGCUCCUGGAAAUAUAGAGAUCAGUACUACCGCCGGCCAGCUGCACCACCUGUUCGUGUGCUUCGACAAUCUGAAGCUGAACUAGAGUUGAUUUUGGUCUAGGAGGUAGAGCAUGAAGACCAUGGUGCAGAACUUGCACAACCACGUUAAGGUUGGCUUCAUUUAAAUGUGGAAUUCAUGAGUACAUGUUGUCUGAUUGUGGUUAUGUGUUAUUUAUAUUUCUCUAUACUUUAGGCUUCUCAGGAUUCAAAUUUUGUAGCCAUAUUGUUUCGGUGCAACUUAUUCAUCGUGUCGGCUGUAUGGGAAGUUUGGCGCAGCGCACACCGCACCCGUGUUGUUAAUCGUGCAGCAUGUAUUGCUAACUUCUGAUUCUUAGGGGCCUGUCUUUUUUUAGCGUGCGGUCGCUGCUUGUGUCUAGAGGCGUGCACGUGACCUGUUGUGGCUAAUCGGUGCAGCAGGGGAAUGCACAGCGCAAUUGGUGUAUCCUUCUGGGGAAGUGAGUGCUGCCUCCAGCCCUCGACCAUCUUCAUUACUUGCACGAGGAAGGACGAUUCCUUCUGGGGAAGUGAGUGCUGCCUCCAGCCCUCGACCUUCUUCAUUACUUGCACGAGGAAGGACGAUUUGAGAGCGGCGUGGAGGGGCAGACGAUGGCGAGCGCGACCAAAUUGAUGCGCAGUAUAUGAAAGGGGGAGCUAUCAGCUGUGAAAUGUUUGGAAAAUAUAUUAUCUACAUGGCUGGCAUGCCAUACAUUGGAAGCAAGCAAUGAUACCAUCUGUAGGUGCUCGCGAAGCAACCCUAAGCUUGCUAACAACAGCUUUGAAUUCCUUUUCGUCCUUGAUGCUUACAUUUGCUUCCAUCCGAGAAGGCAAGAAACCUCUACCUUUCCCUCCCAUUGUUAAUUUACUUCUCUUUACCUAUUCUGGUAGGAACUUACUAGGUUGAGACCACUUGGCAAUGAAGUGAUCAGCUAUAGUGCCUUGAAACCUCUUCAAUUUUUCAUUGGGUUGACAAUUUCUUUCUUUCAGUUUUUCACAACAGAUAUUGAUAAUGAGGCACCGUGCAAUAUUCUUUGUUAGCUGGAAAAGGACUAAGAUGCUACGUAGCUUUAGCUCCAAAUUGCAGCACAUAUCACUCCAUGGUAGCUACAGAAGAAAGAACGGCAUACCAGAUAUUGGUAGACUAGCUAUCAUUCAGUCGAGUACUCCCGUCGAUUAUCUCCUUCCGCUUCCCUUGCUACUACCAAGUCCCCAAUAAUUUAUUAGAUGGAGCCCUCUUUCCCAAGAAUGGAAAACCAACUACAAAAACAAGAAAUAUACUAUAUCAAGAAGUGCUUGCUAAUCUUUAAACGACACAUAUAUAGGUACUAUUUUGGUUGGCUAACUUCACAAUGUAUAUUUUCUUACCCAUAGAUUAUACAUUUACAUGCCUAAUUCCUGUCCUCAAUUUCCCCCUUUUUACGCUCCCGGACAAGAAAAGUUUUCUGUUCUUUGAUGUGUUUAUGUAUGUACUUAACACAGAUUUACAUGGAUGGUAGUUGCAAGUGCCCAAUUCUUGAUGAAUCCAUAUGCAAGCGGACACGGCUCCAACUGUCGAUCACUUUGUUUACCCAAUGG
Long non-coding RNA from Lolium rigidum, 1939 nucleotides. RefSeq lists it as uncharacterized. NCBI's taxonomy places the organism in Eukaryota, Viridiplantae, Streptophyta, Magnoliopsida, Poales, Poaceae. The transcript is spliced from 9 exons. The record is from RefSeq and is a predicted model, not a curated record.